This 72-nucleotide transfer RNA is filed under the name Camelus bactrianus (Bactrian camel). It matches the Rfam family "tRNA". From Rfam's summary of the family: Transfer RNA (tRNA) molecules are approximately 80 nucleotides in length. The record is from Rfam by way of RNAcentral. Lineage: Eukaryota; Metazoa; Chordata; Mammalia; Artiodactyla; Camelidae. RNAcentral also lists the same sequence under 1 other name.
GAGAGUAUAGCUCAGUGGUAGAGCAUCUGCUUAAUAUGCAUGAGGUCCUGGGUUCAAUCCCCAGUACUUCCA